CCGAAAAGGCCGCCGGAGCACCCCCAUCGGACCGAGGGGAAGAGUCAGCGGUGCCAGGAGGUUUUGAUCAGGGGACUCAGCACCCCAGCUCGUAGGUUGUGAUCCAGAUCUGUAUUUGAGUCUGUCUACAAUUUCUAGUUGCAGGAUGCAUAGAUUUGGAUGGGAUGGGCGCAG
This is a non-coding RNA of Phoenix dactylifera (date palm), 174 nucleotides long. Lineage: Eukaryota; Viridiplantae; Streptophyta; Magnoliopsida; Arecales; Arecaceae. The record is from RefSeq and is a predicted model, not a curated record.